Molecule: ribosomal RNA, 468 nt
Filed under: uncultured bacterium
Lineage: Bacteria
Description: partial 16S ribosomal RNA
Rfam family: Bacterial small subunit ribosomal RNA
Source: RNAcentral
GACGAACGCUGGCGGCGUGCUUAACACAUGCAAGUCGAACGGAAAGGCCCUGCUUUUGUGGGGUGCUCGAGUGGCGAACGGGUGAGUAAAACGUGAGUAAACUGCCCUUGACUUUGGGAUAACUUCAGGAAACUGGGGCUAAUACCGGGUAGGAGCUCCUGAUGCAUGGUGUGGGUUGGAGAGUUUCGGCGGUUGGGGAUGGACUCGCGGCUUAUGAGCUUGUUGGUGGGGUAGUGGCGUACCAAGGCUUUGACGGAUAGCCGGCCUGAGAGGGUGACCGGCCACAUUGGUACUGCGAGAGGGCGCAGACGCCUACGGGACGCAGCAGGCGGGAACAUUGCACAACGGCCCGAAGCCUGAGACAGCAACCCUGCGUGCGUGAUGCCGGCCUUCGGGUUGUAAACCGCUUUCGCCUUUGACGAAGAGUGCGUGACGGUAAUGGGUCAAGAAGCACCGGCUAACUACGUG